UAGGGAAUCUUCGGCAAUGGGGGGAACCCUGACCGAGCAACGCCGCGUGAGUGAAGAAGGUUUUCGGAUCGUAAAGCUCUGUUGUUAAGGAAGAACGAGUGUGAGAAUGGAAAGUUCAUGCUGUGACGGUACUUAACCAGAAAGGGACGGCUAACUACGUGCCAGCAGCCGCGGUAAUACGUAGGUCCCGAGCGUUGUCCGGAUUUAUUGGGCGUAAAGCGAGCGCAGGCGGUUAGAAAAGUCUGAAGUGAAAGGCAGUGGCUCAACCAUUGUAGGCUUUGGAAACUGUUUAACUUGAGUGCAGAAGGGGAGAGUGGAAAUCCAUGUGUAGCGGUGAAAUGCGUAGAUAUAUGGAGGAACACCGGUGGCGAAAGCGGCUCUCUGGUCUGUAACUGACGCUGAGGCUCGAAAGCGUGGGGAGCGAACAGG
This 429-nucleotide ribosomal RNA is filed under the name Bacteroidota bacterium. RNAcentral's name for it is "Bacteroidetes bacterium partial 16S ribosomal RNA". It matches the Rfam family "Bacterial small subunit ribosomal RNA", at positions 355 to 776 of the family's 1533-position model. Lineage: Bacteria; Pseudomonadati; Bacteroidota. The record is from RNAcentral.